RNAcentral lists this ribosomal RNA (254 nucleotides) under uncultured bacterium. RNAcentral describes it as "partial 16S ribosomal RNA". It matches the Rfam family "Bacterial small subunit ribosomal RNA", at positions 524 to 776 of the family's 1533-position model. The record is from RNAcentral.
CACGUAGGGGGCAAGCGUUGUCCGGAUUUAUUGGGCGUAAAGAGCUCGUAGGCGGUUCGGUAAGUCGGGUGUGAAACCUCCAGGCUCAACCUGGAGACGCCACCCGAUACUGCUGUGACUAGAGUCCGGUAGGGGAACACGGAAUUCCCGGUGUAGCGGUGAAAUGCUUAGAUAUCGGGAGGAACACCAGUGGCGAAGGCGGUGUUCUGGGCCGGAACUGACGCUGAGGAGCGAAAGCGUGGGUAGCAAACAGG